RNAcentral lists this ribosomal RNA (252 nucleotides) under uncultured bacterium. Its description in RNAcentral is "partial 16S ribosomal RNA". It matches the Rfam family "Bacterial small subunit ribosomal RNA", at positions 524 to 775 of the family's 1533-position model. The record is from RNAcentral.
UACAGAGGGUGCAAGCGUUAAUCGGAAUUACUGGGCGUAAAGCGCGCGUAGGUGGUUCGUUAAGUUGGAUGUGAAAGCCCCGGGCUCAACCUGGGAACUGCAUUCAAAACUGACGAGCUAGAGUAUGGUAGAGGGUGGUGGAAUUUCCUGUGUAGCGGUGAAAUGCGUAGAUAUAGGAAGGAACACCAGUGGCGAAGGCGACCACCUGGACUGAUACUGACACUGAGGUGCGAAAGCGUGGGGAGCAAACAG